Molecule: non-coding RNA, 405 nt
Organism: Cinara cedri
Lineage: Eukaryota; Metazoa; Arthropoda; Insecta; Hemiptera; Aphididae
Source: the annotation of a GenBank genome assembly
GCGAUUAAUUAAUUCAUUUCGCCGGUACCACCGCAUACGUGUGCAUUUAAACGGUUUUCGCGCCAAUAAUCGACGACGACCUUCUACGGCUAACCCAGUGUGCGUAUACAAGUACACACGUGUUCGUUAAACGUCUCGGUCCGUGUCGGCCAGUGUAACAGGCAAAUCGUACCACCGGAUAAUCGUUCCUCGCACAAUACGAUAAUCCUAGGACUAUCAUAGGCCCAGUACCAAAAUCCUAUAUAGGAAGUAUCUAAUUACUUAUAUUGUGUAUCGGAGAUACGAUUUUCCUAGGAUAAUCAUACGACUCGCGGGUAGCAAAAUGCUAGGAAGUUCAUAUUUAUACGAUCAAAAUAUACACUGUAAGGUAUGAUUAUACUUUUCAGGGAAACCGUACCUCCGGCG